GCCAAGUUGAAGAGUAGUGGUGACCAUGUGCUCAUACUAAUUUUUAUUAAAGUUUAUGAAUGUGUCCGAAGUAGCUUAGGUUUAGCACUUGAAAUAGAUGCUAUGAAAGGCUUCUUUGAUAUUGAGACUGAUAAGUGAGGGUGAAGCAUAGUUCACCCAUCCACUGUAGCCGGUGUUCUACAGGCACUGGUAACCAUCUGGCAUCCCACCACAAAACCCAGUUGAUGAGUUGUGAGUAUCC
Non-coding RNA from Pelobates cultripes (western spadefoot toad), 241 nucleotides. Lineage: Eukaryota; Metazoa; Chordata; Amphibia; Anura; Pelobatidae. The record is from the annotation of a GenBank genome assembly.